CCUACGGGUGGCUGCAGUGGGGAAUAUUGGGCAAUGGAGGCAACUCUGACCCAGCAACGCCGCGUGAAUGAUGAAGGUCUUCGGAUUGUAAAGUUCUUUGAUGGGGGAUGAACACAGUGACGGUACUCCCAUAGCAAGCCACGGCUAACUACGGGCCAGCAGCCGCGGUAAUACGUAGGGGGCAAGCGUUAUCCGGAUUUACUGGGUGUAAAGGGAGCGUAGACGGUGUGGCAAGUCGGAAGUGAAAGCCCCGGGCUCAACCCCGGCACUGCUUGGGAAACUGCCGGACUGGAGUGCUGGAGAGGCAAGCGGAAUUCGUAGUGUAGCGGUGAAAUGCGUAGAUAUUAGGAAGAACACCAGUGGCGAAGGCGGCUUGCUGGACAGUAACUGACGUUGAGGCUCGAAAGCGUGGGGAGCAAACAGGAUUAGAUACCCUGGUAGUC
Molecule: ribosomal RNA, 443 nt
Filed under: uncultured bacterium
Lineage: Bacteria
Description: partial 16S ribosomal RNA
Rfam family: Bacterial small subunit ribosomal RNA
Source: RNAcentral